Molecule: unclassified non-coding RNA, 744 nt
Filed under: Hevea brasiliensis (rubber tree)
Lineage: Eukaryota; Viridiplantae; Streptophyta; Magnoliopsida; Malpighiales; Euphorbiaceae
Source: RNAcentral
UAAUUUUCAUAUUAUUUGUGGGACUAUUGACUUUUUUAAAAAAUAUAUAAUUUUAUUGGAACAGCAAAAUUAACAGCGUUAAAGCAUUUUUUCUUAAAAUGAUAAUGGAGUAAAGGUUAAGGUAUCAUUUUGUCGAAAAUUGAACCACAUGCUCCUAAGUGUUAAUCAGAGACUCUAACUAAUUUGGGAUUAAAACUUAAUUGUUUUUUCUGCGAUGUGUCAAAGCAUGAAAAUUCAUAUUACUUUUUUAUAAUUUUCCCCAAUUUUUAUCAUCAAAGAUUAUAUGAAUGCACUAUUUGCUCAGAGAAGCAUAAAACAUAAAUAUUUUCUGCAAGUGCAACUAGCUUAACCUAACACUAGAAGCAUAUAUCAUGUGAAAAAUAUAUGGUAUAUGAAAGAAAUAAAAAACAAAAAGAGUACAUCCAAAAGUCUAAUUACAGAGAAGUAUCUUGAAUGCCUAUGCAUUUUUGGGAAUUUCACAAUUCAACUAUUUGUUCAUAUUUUUGAGAUAAAGAAAGGGGGGAAAGGAGGGAGGCCUUUAUUCCAUAUAUAUGAGAUAUUGAUGAAAAGCCAGUAAAAUUAUAAAAAUUCUAAUAAACAGAUGACAUCAAGAAGGCAGAACAGGGGUUCAUUUUGUCUGAGGAGAAAAAAAUCUAAUUAAUUUGAUGAAUUCCUCCUAUCCAAUCAAAUUCCUGUGGUAGCAUGAAAUAAAAGGAAUACCUGCUGCCAAUAAUAAGCAUUUAG